AAUCAUCAGAAGUCAGGUUAAAAUUCCAAUAAAAUUUCAAUUUCCCUUCAAACUUCAAAUUUCAUGAAUAUUUAAGUCAUUGAGUUGUGGCUUUUCAUGAUUUACUCAAUUCAAAAUGGUAAUUGCUUGCAAUGAACCAAAGGGGUCAUACCUUAAACAACGGAUUAAGGUUGCUUUGAAUGGCUUUAGCGAAUUUCCUUUUUAGAGAUUCUGCAUUUGAAUUGUAUCCUUUCUUUAAAACUACAAAUAUAAUCAGUUGUUCUGGGCCUCCAUGUGCAGGUGCAACACUGAUUGCAGCUGUUUCCAAAAUGCCUUCAUCUGCCCUAUCACAGACACGCUCAAUUUCUACAGAACUUGUCUGCAUAUCAGAACAUAAAAAUCCAGGUAAAAUAACAGUCAGACCAAGGAUGUCAAGGUAGGAAUUUAUGAAUUUCUGAUGAAUCCAUGGUCAGUAACAAGUAGUUUCCAUUCUUAUUAAUUUAUGCUGGACAUUGACAUGGAAAGAUAUAGGAUUAUUACACCAUGUGUAUCCAAGAACUGGGAGAAGGAGAAAAAAACAUAAAUAUAGCUGGAGAUGAGGUACCUUUAUUCCACCAAGAUUCAUUGUGUCAUCAGCCCUCCCUUGUACAACGAAAUAGCCUUCGGCAGUUCUUUUGAUUAUAUCUCCAUGUCUUCUAAGAACCUGCUUAUAACAUAUUACAGAUGACAAAUUAUGGAUAAUAAACCAGUUUAAGAAGUAGAUGAGAAUAACAACAUAAUAUGAGUAGGUAACAUCACAAUUCACAACAUAGUCUAUUAAGUUACCGUGUAACUUACAAUGGGACUAAUUGAAAACCUUUAUGAAGAUAUUGAUCACUUACGUAGGCAUAACAGUGUUUGAUAAACAUCCUAAGUCGAUAGUUAAAGGGUAAUCUUAUCCUCUCUAGUUUCUUUCUUUCUUUUUUGGAUUUUAUGUGUGCAAUUCGGUCAGUGUGUGUUCGUACAGUAAGACACCAAACAAGCAUUAUGAUGUAUUGAACCAAUUGAUUCUGGACCUUUAAAAAGCCAUUAGGAUGCAAGAAAAGCCACAAAAUACCUUCAGAUCUGAAUUACUAUUGCAAGAUAGCAAUAACUGAAUGUUAAAAUAAUGUCACGUUGGAAAUAGGAUAAUUGAAGUAUAUACCUUUCCUUUGUACAUUGGCAUUCCCUUAAAGUAAACCUCAUCAUUAUCAGCAUUAAGCAAUCUAUCAGUUGCUCCCAUAUAAAUAGGAAACAAGCCCACUUCACCAACACAGGCAACAUCCUCUGGCUGUCACAUUGGUCAAAUAGGUCAAACAAAUUAGAAAGCCUAAAAAAUAAUUUGUCUAUCCCAAAACGAAAUGGAAUCCACUUGGUAAGAGUAAAAAUUCUUAAAGACUUGAGAGAAUUGAAAAUUUGUAACAACACAAACAAACACACACAUACAAUCUCAAGAUUUUGAGAUCAAUAUUUCCAUUUAGCCUUAUUGGUUCAAAGUCUGGAUUAUGUAACAACUAACAAGCACUUGACAUCCAUUAUCCAUUGCAACAACAAAAUUAUAGAUAAGUAUUGACACGGUGAAAGAGGUCUCAAGUCGUUGGCAAAAUACUAAAUAGUUAGUAUCAUAUGAUCAAAUAAACUACCGAGAAAAUAUUCUUACAUAAGGAACUCCAUUUUCGUCAAGGAUGACCAAACCAGUUGUCAUUGAUGGUGUACUAAAUGUUCCAAAAGCUUGGGGCUGCAGUGGACUUCCCAUGAGGUAAGAAGAUGCAAGCUCAGUGCCUCCACAACAUUCAAUGAUUGGUUUGUAAUAAGACCUCGAAGAAAGCCAGAGGUCAUCAUCAACAUUUGAAGUUUCUCCAGUCGAACAAAAUGUUCUGCAUAUAACCUCAGUUUAGUUCAGUUUUUCAUUUGUUACUUGAUGGUUCAAACUAACAAGAACUUACUUUAUCUUUGUCCAAUCCAAGCCCUCCAUGCAUUGUGUAUUCUUCCACGUUUUUACUAAGCUCGGAACUGUUCCCAAAAUAGUAACACCUGCAUCCUGAACAAUUGCAGUUGAAUGGUCUUUCAGCAAUGUAUCAAAUUCUAUUGAUGCAGAAUACAACAUCACCUACAACAGUUAGUACUACGCUCAUGUUUUAUUGCUGCGUUUAUGUUUGAUUCACCUCAUCCAGAAGCAACCUCUUUGUAGCUAACUCAGGUUCUAGCAACGAAAAUCUUGCCUUCUAAAAGGUUAUUUUUCCCUUACAUUCAGGACUAGAGUACAGGGGUUCAUUUUCCACUAGAAGCACCUAGUCGUUGAAGCUCAGCCAAAUAACUGCACAAGGACAACUCAUUUUUCUCUUUUCUUUUACCAUAACAGAAUUACAUAACUUAACAUUCUAUGGACAUAGCUCACCGACACAAUACUUUUUUUGUCAUCACAAACUUCAUCUUAGUAAUUCUAUUUUAUGAGACAAUUUCUUAGAAAACUUCUUUUUACCUUGUUUUGACAUCAGCGUGGCCUACAUAUGCAAAUUGUUUUCACACAGGAUAGGAAUGUUCAUGAGCUAUGCCACUGUAGAUGACACUAACUUGCAACCAUUUCCCUCUACAUCCCACUGCAUCAUAGUACUUCAUUGCAUCCAUAAUUUGGAAGAAAAAUCAACUAGCCUAGUAUAGUUCCCAUUCAGUCCUGCUACUAGUCAGUAUGUAUUUUAUUUAGCAUACUGUCACAAAGUCUUAAGUGAUUAAACGUUAAUCACAAAUAAUGACCAUGUUAGUGUGGGUUUAGUGUAGGCUAAACCUUCCCAAUCUUAAUAUUUUAUUAUUAUUUGUAUUUAUCGUACACAUUUAUUAAUUUUUAGAAAAAAUUUAGUGUGAGUUUUACGUUUAUUACACCCACGCUUGUUUUGGUAUUUUAUUUUUUAAAAAAUGUUAGUGUGGGUUAAACCUUCACAAUCUUAAUAUUUUAUUAUUAUUUUUUAUGUGUGUGCUUGUUUAGCGGAUGCAAUACAUUAUUAUUAUUUUUUUUAAAUAUCUAGCGUGAGCUUUAUAUUUACUAAACCCACACUAGUUUUAUUUAUUUAUUUGUUAGAAAAACUUAGUGUAGGCUUUACGUUAACUAAACUCAUGCUAUUUUAAUUUUUUUUCUCUCUUUCAUUUAUAGAAGGCUUGGCCCUCACUAUUAGCAGCCACUCUAUAGCCUUCACAAUUUAUUAGCAGCUAAUUCAACAUUUUCUUGUAGUGCAUGUUGUUAUGUUAAUCACAAAUAUAUAGGAACUGAAAUAUUAGAGUUGGACAAAUACCUGAACGAAUUUUCCAAAACCAUGGCCUAGAGGAGAUCCAUGGUACAGAGCAAGAGUUGCACCGGAUAGAAAGCAUGAAUAUAUAAGAGUUGGGCCCAUCACCCAUCCUAAAUUUGUUGGCCAGCAAUAGACAUCUCCAGGUUGAAUAUCAACAAAAGCCCAUCCAUCUGCAGCACUUCUUAUGGGUGAAAGUUGAGUCCAAGGAAUUGCUUUUGGCUCCCCUGAAAAUUAAAAAUGUAACUAGAAAAUCAUUAUAAUGGGAGUUUCUUAUUGAUGUGUUUCACUGUUCAAGGCAGAAUCUUUACCUGUGGUUCCAGAUGAAAACAGUAUGUUAGUGACAGAAUCAAUUAAUUGAUAGAAUGGAGUGUAGUGAUGUGACCUGCCACGAUUUAAUUGUUAAGGUGAGACAAAACACGAGAAAUAUUGCAACUUCUCUCAGCCCAUUUUUUCUGUUUAUGGGAUCUCUAGUAAUGACUAUUUUAGACACAUAAUAAUAGACACAUUUUAAUGUAUACAUUACCUGGGAUGCUGUCUGCUAGAAGAAAGAAAAUCCUUCCAUGAUAAAUCACAUUCUCUUAAUUGCACACCUAGAUCAUCACCUAUCACAGGAAGCGCGAUAACUUUACAUGCAGCUGCCUCAAUGACUCGACUGCAAGGAGAAAUAAGCAGAAUGAGCCGGUGUUCUAUAUGUAAAAGGAACAACCUUAAAUUUAUCUAGCAUAAGCUACAAGAAAGCUUGAAAUAUUCUAAGUUUUGCUUCGUAAGCAUUACGCUUUCUUAUAGUUUAUGCUAGGAAAUGAGACAUUCCAAGUAGAAGAAUCGUAUUGAAGGAGAAUUGAAGAAGUACCAAAGUUAUGCUUUAUGAAUGGAAGAGACAGAUGCAUACUAAGCAUCCAUCUAGCAUAGAAAAGAACAAACUAUUCACCUGAUAAGGUUUUUGGUACUUGGCCAGUCCUGGAACCAACUAAGACACUGGUUCAAGGUCCUAUAUUUAGUCUAUUUAAGUAGAACUGGUACAAUUCAAUGACAUUAUUUCAAUUUUUACAUAAAGUAUUAAUUAAUAUUAAGCAAAACAUAAUAUAAUUACAAUUUUAAAGAAAAUGCAAAUGGCAUUACUUAUAACUGAUAAUAUUCAAAAUUAAACAUGAAACCAAAUCAAAUAUGUCAUAACAUAUACAAUACCAUAUAUAUUAACUACCACGAUUUGAACCAGACUAACUGAUUUCACACCAGCUCUCAGUAAGAUCAGUUUUAAGAGUUGAGCAAAGAAAUUGGUUAGAACUGUUACUUUGGUCUGGUCCCAUUCUGACAAUUGUGCUUGAUAGAAUCCUUAGAAUCAGAAAAGGUAGUAUGCAAAAAAGAUGACUUGAGUUUAAGAUAUCAAUUUUAUUUCAUAAGUAAAAAAUAUAAUUUUGCCACAAUAUUCUUUUAUUAUGGUCCCAUUAAAUAUCUAUUAACUAGACUCACGCGUAUAAAAAGUUCCAUUGAGGCAUUUAAGAGAAAAAAAUAAGGGUUCUACAAAAACAUUAUUUCAUUCAGCUUGACUCCUAUAUUCUAAUAGAAUGACUUUUCUGUGUUCCAUAACAGAUUGAGUUUUCCUAACGUUGCCCAACCAUGUAUAUCCAUGCUCAAAUGCAAAAACUUCUCACCAGCACGUGGACCAUUGGAUUGAACUCAAACCCAAGUAGCAAAAAGGAACAUGCCAUUGGAACAUUUAUGAAAUGAUUGUUAUAUAACAAUACUAUAACAAAUAUUGAGCUGGUAAUUGUGCCAAAAGUUAAGGAUUUCUGAACAGAUAAACUAGAUAAUAUGAUCUGCAUAAUGCAACAAUAUGGAAAAUAAUUACCUGUACAGAGGGAAAUUCCUGCCACCUCUUGAUAUGAAAUCCUGAAACAAAUUCAAGCUGAGUAAAUUAACAGUUCGAAUUUAUCUUUGAAAGUUCAUCAUGUAAGUGCUUAUAUUAAAGAUCCUAAAUGUGAGGACAGCUAGGAUCAAACUCUUUACCACUGGACCAGGAUAGUUUUAGACCAUGUCAAGGAUCCGUUCUCCUAAAAGCUUAAUCUAUAUGUUUUUAUAUCUAAAGAAGAUUCCAAAGGAGCAUCUACAAUUUAUUUUACAAGAAUAUAUUUUUCUGUCUCACUCCUUAAACAAGAGUACUAUAUGUUCAACACUUAGAAUUUGGACUUGGGUCCAACUCAACUCUAAAAAGUUAGCUCAUGAGGUGAGGAUUGUUACUCCACUUUUAUAUAUUUGUGUGUGUGGGUGUGUACGUGUGUCAUGAGGUGAGGAUUGUUCCUCCACUUUUAUAUAUAUGUAAAAUGAAAUUUCUAACACGCUCCAUUUAUGUUCAAAAUUGAACAUUUCGAGUGGGAUAUUUACAAGACUGGAUAUCUCGUAUAGUCUGAUAAUAGAUCAUCCAAAAGGCAAAUGCGAGGAGAGAAGAAUCUGGACACAAAAUUUAACUUAAUCUCAUAAAAUUUAUUUGUAAAGUGAGAGCUGCUUAAGCCUUGUAAGGGCUACAUAAGACAUAUAUCUAACUAAUGUGGGAUCUACAGCCAUAUUUGUAAAAUAUGCAAUAACAAUGAAAAUUUCAAAAUUGUUCAAUAUUUCAACAUUCAUAAGAUUCAUGAUUUCAACAUAUUCUUCAAUAUUUUGAUCUUUAUAACUCCAGGUAUAAACAAAAGUAGUUUGAAUAUUUGAGAGUACUAUUACAACUUGUUUCUAUAAUUCUAUUAGAUGAAAGAUCUAAAACAGACGGAACUAGGAAGCCAGGAUCAUGGCAUUGAACCUAACCCUAUGAAGGAACUAUACAACUGGGUAUAAUAAACGAUAGUUUCAAGAACCAAAUAUCUUAAAGCUUCAGCUAUAAAGCACAAGCACAAUAAUAGUUUUUACGUUUAAAAUAUCCUUUCGUGAGAACCAUUUGAGAUUGAAGCACAAAAGUACUAUUGCAGUCUGACCUUUUGGUGAAAUUAUAAUUUAAUUAAAGGAAUUUGUCAGUGAGGACAUAACUCUUGACCAUUUGGUAGAACAGUCUCCUAAAAGUUUAAUUUGUCAGGUGCAAGCCCAGAAACUUUAAUUUCUAACAGAUAGAUGGGAAUAUUACAAAAUGUAAUAACAAUAUAUGACAAGAUCAUCCAUGUAAUUAUCAGUUUAUAAUUUGGAUAAUUGCUAUGCUACUUUUAGGCUGUGAGUGUGAAAGUGCUUGACUAAAAGGCAGGAAGCCUGGGAUAACCAUCAUCUUCAUCUAGAACUCAAAUAUAUGUUCAUUAUCUGUUCAGAUUUAUCAUAUGGCUAGACAUAUUAAGAUUUCAUUCACUUAGUGUCCUAAUUGAUUUUUGCUUAACUUCAUUUAAAACUCUCUGCAUUAUGAAAUCUAAUUUAAUAAGCACAUUUUAAUCACUAAAACUGCUACCAACAUGGUUGUUAAUUUCUGUCAACUCCUUGCAUGCCACCCUUUAACACACGACAUACAGCUUUCAAUGCAGCUACUGUUCUAACUAAUUCAUAUUUAUUAAAACCAUGACUAAUAAGUUUACCGAAAAAAGGUCCAAAUUAUUUUAACAAGUUCUACCUGAAUUAGGUAUCCGUGAACAUCGACUGUAGGUUGAAUCUCAUCAAAUAAGAAACAUUUAAUGAAAUUAAUUUUUUUAAGCCAUAAGAACAAUUUAGUAAUUUUAGCAUUGCUUCACACACACUGAACCCUAUAACACGCAGAAAUUGGUAACUAGGAGAGAACAAAAACAAUAUCGAUUGAAUAGUCCACUUUGAAGAAUAACAGGUUACUAUUAAAGUCAUAAACAAUACCAAAUUUUAAACAUCACCUGAGUGAAAAUACCCUUUGCUUUGGAAACACGCAGGCGAGUUGCAAUUUCUUUUGGUGCAAAGCUAUCAGCUAUUGAUACCACAACACAUCCUGCUAGAACAAUGGCUAGAUAUAUAAUCACUGCAUUGACUGUCAUUUGCAUGUCAAUUGCGAUUGCAUCUCCUUUCGAAAAUGAGGCAUCUAUUGCAUUCGCUACCAACCUGGAAAAAACACAGCAAAAACUAUGAAAAUUACUGCAACAAUAAAAAACAAAAGGGAGAGUGUGAGUUGAAAGGCCUACAUUACUUGUUGUCGGAGUUGUUUAAGCGUGAUACCAUUAACCUCGGAAUCAUCAAAACCUUCAUUUCUCCAAACGAUGGCUAAACUGUCAUCUGGUUUGUAGGGAUGUGAACUGGGCUGCACACAGCAAUCAGCAAUGUUGAGGACAGAACCGGGAAGCCAGGUCCCUCCAUGUCUAGAAGGGUCAGAAGUAUCCAAAAUGCACUUGGGAGGUUCAACAAAGGUGAUAGAAAGUUCCUUGAGAAGAAGGGACCAGUAGAGCUGCAUUGACAAUAAGAAUUAACGAAGAAAGAAAGAAAAGAAGAGAUGUUAAAGAGGCAUUGGGUUGCUUGCCUGAGGGUGUUGAACAGAAAAGUUGUGAAAGAGGGGAUAACUGGUAAUAGGGUCUUUGUAGGAAGAUCCUAAAAGCUGAGGGGCAUGAGUUUCCAUGAAACGGCCAAGGUUGGUGCGUUUGGAGUGGUCCCUGAAAGAAAGAAGAGAAGUGAGUGAAGAUUGUAGUAGUGAAAAGUGUGAGAAGCAGAGAAAGACUUACAGAGAAGGGAACCAAUAGAGUGGAAGAGAAGCAUGAUGAGUGUGGAAGGCAGAGUGAUAAACAGAGUGGAAGAGAAGGUGAUGCAAGGAGUGUGGAAAGGAUGGUUUGAGGAGUUUGAGAGAGACAAGGUGGCGCCAUAUGAGUGAAGGGUGGUUGUCGGAGUGGGAGGGAUAGUGAGAGAGAAUAUCCCUCAAAACGCCGUAGAGUUCAUUGGCUUGUGCCAGUGUCAACCCUGCAUUCACCAAAUCUUCCACUUCCAAUUCCCUCACGCUCUUCACCAUCGCUUUCUCUCCUCUUUCAACCCUCCAACUUGAAUCAAAAUUUGCAGAGGGGUUCUUCAGUUUUUGAAUUUGAUCAUGCAGUCUCUUCACACCACCUAACACUUCCAACCCAUUAUUGUUAGAAAAAAAAGUAUGUUGACAAGCUUGACUUCCCUGUAUUACACCUACCCACAUACCAAUUUAAGGGAUUUUUUUGUUGUCAUAAUAGAGUAAUUUUAUAUGGAUAAUUUUUAAAAUAUUAUUAAAAUAUUUAAUAUUUAUUAAGUUGAUAUAAUUUUAUUGUGAAAAAAUUAUAACAAAAUAACACCAAUUUAAUAUAUUUAACACGGUUUUAAUAUAAUUAGUUGUCAACUCAAAUAAUGUAAGACACUAUAAUAUGUCAAACUAACAUCACUUUUGAUCAAUUUUUUAAUUUUACCUAUUUUAUUAAGUAAUCUAUAAAAUUAUGUUAAUUUAGUAAAAAACUGAUUUAACGGAUAAGAGUACCUGUAUUAGGUAAAUAAGUCAGUGUUCAGUUAAUAAUUAAAUUGAUUGACUCAAAUAUAUAUUAAAAAAAUAAAAUUUACAAAACUAACAUAGAAUUAAUUUUAAAAGUAAAAUAUAUUUUUAUUAUAAAAUAAUUUAUAUUAAAAUAAAAAUAAUGAUAAGAAUAAUAGAAAGAUUUGGAUGAAAUGCUUGAGUUGAGAGCAUUCUGGAAAAGAUAACGAACCAAAUGUUGGAAGCUAUUAAAAAGGUUAGUUAAAAUGCGGUUGGUGAGUUUGAGGUCCCAAAGUUGACCACAAGGUAGCACUGUAGUAGGUGAUGCCUCUCCUCACAACCAACCAACCACAUUUUUUGAAAAGCAGAAAUAAAAAAUCUUAACAUAUAUUUUAUAAAAGAGUUCUAGAAGUAUAUUUUUAUUCAAAUAUUUUUUUAUUUAAAACUAUUUGUCGUCAUUUUAGAAGUAUAUUUUUAGAAUGACAGAUUAAAUACAGGUUGAAAUAGAUAUUUCAUCAUUUUUUAAAAGUAUUUUUUUUAAAUGACAGAUUAAAUAUAGGUUGAAAUAGAUAUGGUGUAGAAAGAAUUUGCCUCUCAAUUUUAGAUUGCACUCCAACAUCAUACAGACGUAUAAGCACAUUCUAAAUUCUUUUAAGAAUGCCUAAGAUACUAGGAAUUAUAAAUGAAGAGCAAAUAUAACAUUUAAAUUAAUGUUUAUACAAAUAUAUAAAUAAAUUAGCUUUUCAAUAUAGUGUUGAACAAUUUUGUUACUAGUCAUGAUUUUAAAACAGUUAGUUUAUAAAAAUAUAUUUAAAGAAACAAAAGUAAAAUAUAUACUAAUACAGCAUACAGUUUUAAAUCUCGUACUGCAUCUCAAUUUCCAAAACUUUUCAAAUACAUGGUCAUUCUUACUUUUCAUAGAUAUAUGAAAUUGGAUUAAAUAGAAUCCAUAACUUCGUAAAAAAUCUAAAAUUCCCAAAAUUAAAUUUAAAAGGCAUGUUCAUUUUUUUUACUUAAACAAAAGACAUGUUUAUAAGUCUUUGUUGUUGUUACCCCAGAUUUAGUUAAACAAACAAAUUUAAUAUAACAAAAUAAAUGAAAACAAGAACAGAGAAAAUAAUUAAAAGCAUGUGAUGAUAAAUAACCAUUUUCCAGGUACAACUAUGAAGAAUCAACUAAGACACUCUCUGGAACAAGCAGCAAGGAGGAGUUGCUAUAGAAUUAUUAACUAUCAUUUUCUCAUUUACAUAAAUAGUGGAACAGAAAGGACACUUGAACCACAUUCACUUGGCAAAUCGAACAGU
RNAcentral lists this long non-coding RNA (9983 nucleotides) under Phaseolus vulgaris (common bean). RNAcentral's name for it is "long non-coding RNA (PVUL_LNC004656)". The record is from RNAcentral. Lineage: Eukaryota; Viridiplantae; Streptophyta; Magnoliopsida; Fabales; Fabaceae.